GACGAACGCUGGCGGCGUGCUUAACACAUGCAAGUCGAACGGAAAGGCCCUGCUUUUGUGGGGUGCUCGAGUGGCGAACGGGUGAGUAACACGUGAGUAACCUGCCCACAACUUUGGGAUAACGCUAGGAAACUGGUGCUAAUACUGGAUAUGUGCUCCUGCUGCAUGGUGGGGGUUGGAAAGCUCCGGCGGUUGUGGAUGGACUCGCGGCCUAUCAGCUUGUUGGUGGGGUAGUGGCCUACCAAGGCGGCGACGGGUAGCCGGCCUGAGAGGGUGACCGGCCACAUUGGGACUGAGAUACGGCCCAGACUCCUACGGGAGGCAGCGGUGGGGAAUAUUGCACAAUGGGCGCAAGCCUGAUGCAGCAACGCCGCGUGCGGGAUGACGGCCUUCGGGUUGUAAACCGCUUUCAGCAGGGACGAAGCUUUUUGUGACGGUACCUGCAGAAGAAGCACCGGCUAACUACGUG
RNAcentral lists this ribosomal RNA (469 nucleotides) under uncultured bacterium. RNAcentral describes it as "partial 16S ribosomal RNA". It matches the Rfam family "Bacterial small subunit ribosomal RNA", at positions 28 to 507 of the family's 1533-position model. The record is from RNAcentral.